RNAcentral lists this ribosomal RNA (543 nucleotides) under Labrisomus multiporosus (porehead blenny). Its description in RNAcentral is "partial 16S large subunit ribosomal RNA". It matches the Rfam family "Bacterial large subunit ribosomal RNA", at positions 1846 to 2586 of the family's 2925-position model. Lineage: Eukaryota; Metazoa; Chordata; Actinopteri; Blenniiformes; Labrisomidae. The record is from RNAcentral.
UAAGAGGUCCUGCCUGCCCCGUGAUCAUGUAUUCAACGGCCGCGGUAUUCUGACCGUGCGAAGGUAGCGCAAUCACUUGUCUUAUAAAUGAAGACCUGUAUGAAUGGCACGACGAGGGCUUAACUGUCUCCCCUCCCCAGUCAAUGAAAUUGAUCUCUCCGUGCAGAAGCGGGGAUUCUACCAUAAGACGAGAAGACCCUGUGGAGCUUUAGACGAAAAUUUAGCCCGUGUUAAGCAUCCUCCUUAAAAGCCAAAACUUAGCGGACCCUAUUUUUAUGUCUUUGGUUGGGGCGACCGCGGGGGACCAACUAACCCCCACGUAGACUGAGGGCACACCCCUCAAAAGAAAAUGAGCCUCCUCUCUUACUAACAGAAUUUCUGACUAAAAAUGACCCGGCAUAGCCGAUCAACGGACCCAGUUACCCCAGGGAUAACAGCGCAAUCCUCUUUGAGAGCCCGUAUCGACAAGAGGGUUUACGACCUCGAUGUUGGAUCAGGACAUCCUAAUGGUGCAGCCGCUAUUAAGGGUUCGUUUGUUCAACG